AGGAAAUAACCUUUUUUUUUUUUUUUUUCCCUAAUGCUGAAAUACCAGGACAGGCUAAUGAAAACUGGUUUUCUGACAACGCUGAGUUACGAGAUGGCAGCACCUGUUGGACUUCAGUGAAAAUAUUCUUGUGGGCUCUGGUUUGCACUUUUUCAAGCCAUGGCUGAGGGAGUGCUGAAGUGUGCAGGGAGCAGAAGGUCCAGCCCAGUGUGGAAGGGUUGGCUGGAGCCUGGUUUGGAUGUCAGUGCAAACAGUGCCACCCUGAUGGAGGCUAAACAGGGAUCCCAGAGUCACAGAGCUGCUAAGGCUGGAAAAGACCUCGGAGGUAAUCGAGUCCAAGCAUUAACCCAGCACCACUGUGCUCACCACUAAACCAUAUCCCCAGGUGCCACAUCCAUAUGCUUUUAGAACACUUCCAGGAAUAAUGAUUCCACCACUUCCCUGCUGCACCCUGAGUAGGUUUAGCUUUCUUAGUUAGCUUUUUUUUCCCUUGACUUGUUGUUUCCCUGUUUGUUUCCCUGAAAAUGGAAAAUAUCUUCAUUUUCUAAUUUUGAUAAUUCUAGAUGAAAUUGUGCAAAUGGCUCCUCAGACUUGACAAAAGACCUGUGGGGUAAUGCAGUGAAGCUUACUCUUUAACAAAAUUACCACAAAUUGUGCUAAGAGCAUCAUAGCUUCAACUAAUGUAAAAUAAGCGAAGGUUUUCUGAAAAGUAGUGCAUCCAUUUAAUGCUUAUCUGGAAAACUAAGCAUACUUAAAUGUAUAAUAAAUAAAAACAAAGAACUUUUGGCAUUGUCUCACCUUUUUCCCUUGACAUGACUUUAUUAUCUAUUAUAACCAGGAAAAAUCUUUGUAUUCCAAAGAGAAGGUGUUUUUUAAAAAUACACGUGAAUAACAUAAAUAUUACUAUGGUGCAAAUACUCAUUCAAUUAUCUUUUUAUCUUAUUUUUUAUGGUUUUGGUAUAAGUUUCUGUUUAAUAGAACUCUGAAGCUCAGGUUGCAAUUUCAUGUCAGGUUCAGUGUUAGCCCCUUUACUGGUAAAAAGAGAAAAUCAAUCUGCUUUUGCAAUGUAAAUGUAGAGACAUAGAAUUGAAUUAGUUGAUAUUUCUCAACAUCUGAGAUAACAUAAAUAGGACCAUAAUUUUCCUUGUCACUUUCAUGUAUAAGUGCAGGAGAGGUCCAGGCAGGAAUUCUUACUUAUGUAUCCCUUACAUCUUCAAAGUGCAUGAUUUGUGUGCAGUCAUAAAGAGUGGACAGCUCAUAAUUUAAUUAUUUAAUCCAUAAAAUCCAUUUAAAAAAAGAAGGAAGAAUAAAGUUAAUGCCUUGUUUACAAUGACUUUAUGAUAACUCUCAUGUACUCAUGCAUUCAUUAACAGAAAACAGGUUUCUAUAAGGGCCCAAUUGUGUUUUGUUUCAAUCAACUCUGAAAGGAUAAUAAAAAAAUAGGAAAAACAAAGAUAAACCAAAUAAUAAAAAUUAAGUAAAAAGGGUUCUGAAGCCACAUUCUUGGGCUUAAAGAAGCAUAUUCUUACUUUUUAUUGUUCCUGAGUUAAAAAUUUACUAAUGCUCUUUAAAUUUAAGAACUGUUCAGUUGAUUACACACGACUUGACUGUGUAAACUUUUGAGUUAGAAAAGGUACUUAAAGCAUAAUAAGAACUCAUUAGUAGCAUUAAAGGAAAAUAGAAAAAAGUUUGUAUUUAGUAGUCAUGACUCUAAGAAAAGAAUUGUUCCACAAACCAUCCUGGCAGAAAAAGGAGCCAGGAAAGCACAGGCCUGAAGUCAGUUGAAAUUCAGCGUCUCUGUUCCACCAGCAGGGAACCUCUGCCUCCCAGAGGGAACUUUCAUGCAGGAGGGUAAAGCUGAAUUCUCCCAGAGUAAAGGAGGAUGUGCCCCCAUCCAGUGAGGUUCAUGCUGGGCAUGAAGUGCAGGUAAAAUCAGUCUUUUUAUUGGCCUGGGCUGUCUGCUGGGCACACACAGGAAUGCAGAAUGCCAAAAGAGAAGAAAAAAAAAAUCAGCAUCUGUUUUGCCUGGUGAUAACACUCUUAUUUUAUAUCAUGCAAUAUAUAAUGUAUAUAUUUACAUUUUUCAUUAGCAAUUCAAGUGAGAAUUGGUUGUUAAAUUAGUUGCAAGUGCUGACAUAUAAGGGCAGAUGAUUUGUAUUUUCUUAGAGAUGUGUAUGUAGCAUUUUCUGAAGGAGGUGGCUUUGGUACUGUUAUGCAUGUGAACAGCCUGGAAAUUCCAAGCUUUUAUCUUUUAGAGAAAUGUAUUACUGUUAUGGGCAAAAUGGAUCUAAAUAUCACAAACUUUUAUGUAUCUGUCUGAAUCCCAGCUGAGAGGCUAGCUGUGGGGUAUCUCUAAAAUAAAAAUGUUUAAUAUUCACUUUUUGUCAUCAAACAUUUACUUUAGUGCUAUUAAGUUUUGUCUUUUUAAACCAUGAUGCACCCUUCAGUAGGAGGAUGAGGCCCUACUCUCUUAUUGUCAGCUGUGAAUGCAACUCAUUGUUAAAGUCUGUGUGAUAAAUUUAUUUCAACUUUGUCUCCUAAAGGGGUGUCAUUUUGCAUCUUUUCUGCACUGAACAUUUUCACUGAGGACCAUGUCACAAGGGAGGUAUAAAACACAAGUAUAAAAUCAGGUAUUUGGAUUACAAGGUAAAUAUUUUUGGCUGGUAUUUAUUAUUACUACUUAGCUGUAGUGAUGAAGCAAAGAGACACUGAUAAUUGCAAAUUUGAAGAGUCUCUGUUUUGAAAAGGCAUUUCUAUCAGAUAGACUGGUAGAAAAAUAUUCAUCAAUCAUUUAGGUCUGUCUCAGGAAUUUAUUAACUUUUCCAUAAGCUGUAUAUUUCUGCCUAAUUAUAUCAUGAAUAAACAGCUGCAAUAAACAGUGAGAUUCAAUCUUCUGAAUAAGCACAUAACUACAUUCUUCACUAUUUUCUGGUUUUUGACAGCUUAGCAGUUAAACUGGAUGAACAUGGAAUAUAGUACAUGAAAAUGGAUGAGAAAGAAAGUGAUAAUGUAGCAUAUUUUCUCCACUUCCUUCUGAAACAGUGUAAAGCAAUCAGUUCUAAAAACCUCUGUCCAUGUAUUAGUUAAUCAAUACAAAUGUUCAGCCUGCUCCAAGAUAUUUUAACACCUGUCAGAGCUAGCUCAGCAGUCAUUGUUCAAAGCUUACAUGGAAGCAAAAACCACAACAGAAAACCUUUCCCAUCUCCAGGGGAUUAUCUCUAGGGAGGAAAAAAGAGAGAGUGAUUCUGGUUACUAGAAACGAGGGGGGGAACAGAGCUCCAAUUCUCAGAUGAUCCAAUUAUGAUUAGAAAAACUGUGUAAAAAAAAAAAAAAGUAGAGCUUGGAGAGUGAGGAAUUUAAUCAUGAUUAUCUGCCUCUUGUGAGGCAGUGUGAAAAUCUGCCAAACCCACCUUUGCUUAGUUACCCUGAAGUGUGGGAGGGAAGGGGAAGCAAAUGCAAAAUGAUGCACCGGGGAGGCGCCGUGAUAGAGAACAACAAGGGAAAUAAUUUCCUCUCAUACUGGGAAAAAGAUUCCUUUUCAAGACCUGUGAUAUUAUUAAUGAGGUAUGAAACUCUAGCAAAGAGCUUUGGCUCUUGUGUUGCUACCACUGCUCCUUGGAGCAGUAGAAUACAGUUACAUUUGCCAUGGGGUUAACAACAGAUCCCUGACUCGUAUACACCAUUCCCCUUCCUCUUAUACACAUGUUUUAUGUCACAUAUAAAUACUUGUAUUUCAUAUUUACUGUCUAUUACAAUAAAUAUAUUAGUUGUCAGGCUUAUUUUCUCCUCUCAUUCAAAUCACAUUGGGCUCAAGCAUGACAAACAAGUGUGAUGCAUAUUUUCUGGAGGUUUAAAAACAUAUCUGAAAUCUGUCCAGCUCUGUUGUUAAAAGUGUAAGUUAAAUGUACCAAGUGAUAUUUGGCCUUCAGAAAUGGAAGUGGGGAGGGUUGCCUUGACACGGUGGACCUGAAUUAACAUACUAUACUGUUUUAUACAUGAAUGAAUAAAUAGUAUAUUAACAAACUGCUUUGUACAUAUGUAUUUCUGCCUUUAUUCAUUACUUCUAAGGAACCUGGGGAUUGUGGUCUGACUGCACACAAGGUAGGUGCAGGUACAGGUAGGUACAAGCACCACAGGCACCACCCAGGACCCUUCCCUGGGCUCUCAGGGAUGCAGGUUUCCCUCAUCCUUGUGGUCGCUCCUUCUAGGAGACUACUGCUCAUGUCUUGGUGCCUUCUGUGAAGAGGACACUUGCCUGCUACAGAAGCAAAGGGAUGUUGUAUUUAUCCUGCAUUUCUUUCACCAAGUGGAACAAGACAUGACAUUUUUCAAGCUCCUCCUCGCCGUUGCUGUUGAUUCAGCCACUUGUCCAUGGCAGUUCCUGUGCCAGCAGGCAGAGCUGGGCUGGGACAAGCAGGGACACAGUGUGUGCCCCAGCCAUAUCCAUCUGUUUGCACUGAGUGACCCAGAGUCACUUCUUCAGCUCCACCUGCAUCUAGCUGAAAUAAUGAAGUUCCCCUAUUCCCAAACCUGCCUCCUGAGACCAAUUUUUCUGUGGAACUGCCAGGGCUGGAGCAGCUCUGCCCUUGGCCUGCCCUGCUGGAUGUGACACCUCUGUCUGCAUCUUGGAUUGGGGGUAUGUUGGAUGUUGUGAAAGAAAAGGCUAAAGGAGAAAUACCAUUGCCUGCCCACUCCUGGGGAAGUUACGAAUCCAGGAGAGUGUGGACUAUGAAAGCCAUUAAUAUUCUGCAGAACCUCACCCAGGCAGCAGCAUACUUUUUUUCUGGCUAUGUGCCAGACAGGCAAUGAAGUGCUCUAAGGGCAGUGAUCCUGAUAAUGAGUUCUUCAUCACCUGUGAGGUGCUAAUCCUGAUCCUUUAGAAGGGUUUUUUUUCUUAAAUUAUUAUUAUACGUCUCUACCCAUAUAUUCAUGCCUUAGUGUGUGUAUCUGUGUCUGUGUACUCCCACCAGCAGACAGCUCCAGCAAGCCCAGCCAGGCCAGAUCAGUGCUGAGCCCAGGUGAUUGCUGGCAGUGACCCCAUGGUCCUGCUACUCGUGCAGCAUCUCUGCUUGUUAAUAGGUCUGCUCCCUUGCUUAGAGUCACUUGUUCAAGCCAUGGACAAAUUUAUGGAUCAUUAGAUUUAUGCAUAGAUUAUGUGGUGAUGAAAAGCACCCUACUGACAGUACUGAGAGCUGAUGCACAUUAUCCUGCCAUGAGCAACACAAGCAGCAACCCUGCAGGCAAUUUCUUGCAAAACUAGAGAUUUCCUUAUGGUACCUGAAGAGUUUUUUUGGUGAGGAUUAUUUUCCACACUGGUCCAGUAGGAGGUUACAUGAGUUCAGAGCUAUGGAAACCUCAAGAGUUUUCUUCCACUGCACAGCAAUGACAUGAAUUAUUUUAUGACAUUGCCAUCGGGGUCUCUUCCUUAGAUAGUGAAUUUCGCAAUCAAACUUAUAGCUAGCAAGGAAAAAAAAAAAGAAAAACCAAAAUCAGGAGAACUCUAUAAUAUCAUACUCAUUGUUUCCUAAUGAACAAUUUGAUCACUGUUUGGGAGACAAAGAGAGCAAACCAGCAUGUCUCAUUAUAGCGCUGUAUCUAUCAGUAGUAAAUAUGUAUACUGUACAGAAUGCCUCUUAUUCUAUUUUCAUAAGGCUGCAGGAGACCUAGAAAACAUAGCAGGAAGGCCAUCAGAAUGACCAUAAAAUGAAAUGGCAUCUGUUUGUAGCACGUACUAGGUGGACUGCUGUGUUGGAAAACUGAUGACUGCAGUAAGGAUCUAACAGGAGCCUACAAAAUUGUCAGCAGGUUGAGGAAGUGAAUUGUGAAUCAUCAAAUUUUCUAUAAAGCAUAGAUUUUAGAAAAUCUCUUCUUGGAGACAUAAAUUUCCCCAUGAAAAUGUUAGCCAAUUGUUUUUACCAGGAGGGGCUGUUCUUCCCAACAGGUAAUUAAAUUACAGAACUGAUUAAUAAGCUGGCAGAAAGUAAAAAAUUAAUUUAAAAAUAAAUUAAUUCAUGCCAAUAAAUAGGAUGAUGUGGCUACAAGCAUAUAUAUUUCUGAUAGAGUAUCUAUAUAUAAAAUCCUUUUAUAUAUUGAUAUAUGUGAUGUAACAUAUUUAAAUAUAUACAUUCUUUUUCAGAAUGAGGAUAUAUUCUUAGUUGUGUUGUAUUAAAACUGAUUCCAUAUCUGGGCAAAAUUAAAGCAAAAAAAUCAUUUUUAAGGUGUGGCAAAUGGAGUUUCUCUGGCACAAACUACAAAGUUGCACUUUUGCUGUUAGGAUGAUGUUUGCCUGGCUGCUCCACACUGCUCUGUAGUGUGAGGCUCUUGCUGCUUUGAUGAAAAUCUGAGAGCACCAAAUUAGAGUCUGCAUUAGUUAUGUAGGUAAAAAAAAGUGCUGAAAAUGUACAGAGAUGCCAACACAGUGUGUGCCUGCUCAUCCUUUCCCUAGAAAAAAUAUACUCAUAUAGAUCUUCAUCCUCCACAAAAUGACAGGACAGCCCCACUUGCCAGAACUAUUUUCCUGUAACUGUGCUGUGGCAUUCACACAGGCUCCUUCUGUGACAGUAAUAUGGAAGUUGUCUCCAUUGCAACUGUACACAAAAUGACAUUUUUCCCACCUAGGCAAUCGGAUUUAGCAGUUUCCUGAAACAUGCUCUCAAAAUUAUCUGUUUUAGUGGUUUUGCCCCAGAAGGAAAGGUGCUGUGAACAGCAGCUGGACUGGGCCUGCUGAGCCCUGGCACACCUGGUGAUGCUGCCCCUGUGGACCCUGCAGGAUCCAGGCUGGGUAAGGAGUCAUAGCUCAUCACCUGGGUCAUCACAGCACACAAAGUUGUUUGUUUUGGGAGCAGGUGCUCAGUAUUUCCCUCACAACCUCACUGUGCCUGUGGAAAAUGAUUAAGGUCUCAGUAUCAUAAAA
Molecule: non-coding RNA, 6913 nt
Organism: Taeniopygia guttata (zebra finch)
Lineage: Eukaryota; Metazoa; Chordata; Aves; Passeriformes; Estrildidae
Source: RefSeq, a predicted model, not a curated record